UACAGAGGUCCCAAGCGUUGUUCGGAUUCACUGGGCGUAAAGAGUGUGUAGGCGGUUCUCUAAGUUCCGUGUGAAAUCUCCCGGCUCAACUGGGGGGGUGCGCGGGAAACUGGAGGGCUCGAGUAUGGGAGAGGAAAGCGGAAUUCCUGGUGUAGCGGUGAAAUGCGUAGAUAUCAGGAGGAACACCUGCGGUGUAGACAGCUUUCUGGACCAUCACUGACGCUGAGACACGAAAGCGUGGGUAGCAAACAGG
This 253-nucleotide ribosomal RNA is filed under the name uncultured prokaryote. RNAcentral describes it as "partial 16S ribosomal RNA". It matches the Rfam family "Bacterial small subunit ribosomal RNA", at positions 524 to 776 of the family's 1533-position model. The record is from RNAcentral.